CCUACGGGAUGCAGCAGUAGGGAAUAUUGGACAAUGGGCGAAAGCCUGAUCCAGCCAUGCCGCGUGUGUGAAGAAGGCCUUCGGGUUGUAAAGCACUUUCAGUGGGGAAGAAAGCCUUGGGGCUAAUACCCUCGAGGAAGGACAUCACCCACAGAAGAAGCACCGGCUAACUCCGUGCCAGCAGCCGCGGUAAUACGGAGGGUGCGAGCGUUAAUCGGAAUUACUGGGCGUAAAGCGCGCGUAGGCGGUCUGAUAAGCCGGUUGUGAAAGCCCCGGGCUCAACCUGGGAACGGCAUCCGGAACUGUCAGGCUAGAGUGAAGGAGAGGAAGGUAGAAUUCCCGGUGUAGCGGUGAAAUGCGUAGAGAUCGGGAGGAAUACCAGUGGCGAAGGCGGCCUUCUGGACUGACACUGACGCUGAGGUGCGAAAGCGUGGGUAGCAAACAGGAUUAGAUACCCCGGUAGUC
RNAcentral lists this ribosomal RNA (465 nucleotides) under Vreelandella stevensii. RNAcentral describes it as "partial 16S ribosomal RNA". It matches the Rfam family "Bacterial small subunit ribosomal RNA", at positions 338 to 795 of the family's 1533-position model. The record is from RNAcentral. Lineage: Bacteria; Pseudomonadati; Pseudomonadota; Gammaproteobacteria; Oceanospirillales; Halomonadaceae.